AUGGUCAGUGUCACCGAGCUCUGCCCGUUGUCCCUGGAGAUCCUGACCCGGCCCUUGACCGAUGGGCUCCGGGCGGCCGUGACCCUGCUGGAGUCCGGGGGGGACCUCCAGCCCCCCGGGGGGUCCCUGCGCCUCCUCUGCCGAGGCUCCGGGUUCCUGCAGCCUCCCCCCACUUCCUCCCCGGCAGCUGCAGGGCUUUCCAUCCCCUCAUCCCCAUCUCCCCUUUUCCCCGCAGGGCUCCGGGCGGCCGUGACCCUGCUGGAGUCCGGGGGGGACCUCCAGCCCCCCGGGGGGUCCCUGCGCCUCCUCUGCCGAGGGUCCGGGUUCGAUUUCGGCAGUUUUGGGAUGGCCUGGUAUCGCCAGAGACCUGGGCAGGGGCUGGAAUUUAUCGCAAGGAUCCACAGCAAUGGUGGUUUCAUCGAGUACGGGCCGUCAGUGCAGGGCCGGGUCAGGAUCUCCAGGGACAACGGGCAGAGCUCGGUGACGCUGACCAUGAACAACCUCAAGGACGAGGAUUCCGGAUCCUAUUUCUGCGCCAAAUCUGCUGGGGCUUACACUGCUGAUCCUGGUCGUAGUGAACAUGGCGGUGCUGGCUCCAUCCCCAUCUCCGAGGCCCCCCAGUCCCCAGAGCCCAGACCCUUCCCCAGACCCCAGCCCCAGACCCAGCUCUUGA
Passer montanus (Eurasian tree sparrow) is the source of this 673-nucleotide non-coding RNA. The record is from the annotation of a RefSeq genome assembly. Lineage: Eukaryota; Metazoa; Chordata; Aves; Passeriformes; Passeridae.